RNAcentral lists this ribosomal RNA (301 nucleotides) under uncultured bacterium. Its description in RNAcentral is "partial 16S ribosomal RNA". It matches the Rfam family "Bacterial small subunit ribosomal RNA", at positions 509 to 807 of the family's 1533-position model. The record is from RNAcentral.
CAGUCGCCGCGGUAAUACAGAGGGUGCAAGCGUUAAUCGGAAUUACUGGGCGUAAAGCGCGCGUAGGUGGUUUGUUAAGUUUGAUGUGAAAUCCCCGGGCUCAACCUGGGAACUGCAUCCAAAACUGGCAGGCUAGAGUAGGGCAGAGGGUGGUGGAAUUUCCUGUGUAGCGGUGAAAUGCGUAGAUAUAGGAAGGAACACCAGUGGCGAAGGCGACCACCUGGGCUCAUACUGACACUGAGGUGCGAAAGCGUGGGGAGCAAACAGGAUUAGAUACCCGCGUAGUCCCUGUCUCUUAUAC